UUCUAUCUGUGCAUCUGAGGAAUCGGGAGCCUUUUGCCCCUCGGCGCCCGAGGAAAUAAUGAGGUGCCAACGGAGAGUCACAGCUCCACCGCUAAACAGCGAGUGCAAAAACCCAGCGAAGAUUGUGGCACAAGGAAGACGAGGCCUGAGAAACUCGUUCCACUUGGUGCUCGGGGCUCGGGGGGCGAGAUCACGCUCGAUCCUUAGCAGCAUGCCGCUGCGCAGUGCCAGCGGUGAGGCUGUGUGCCCGCCAACUCUUUUGUUUCCCUCAGAGUUGUUCCCACCUCCGGGAUCCACGCUCCACUGUUCACGUGCAACAACUGGAGCAAUUACAAGCGCAGCGAUUGCACACGAGUGUCCGUGUGUGUUUGUAAUUCGUUAAGCUCCGACAUAUCCACCCAGAGAGGGGAGGAGGAAAAAAAUUUGCUUUCAGUGGCAGUGGUGGAGCCAGAGAGAGGGGAAGAGAGAGGGCGACCUGGCCACGUUUGGAACAUUUGGUUCGUGCUGUGAACACUAUUGCGCAAUAAUGUAAUUCAGAUAGUGCUGGGCAGCAUGG
This is a long non-coding RNA of Astatotilapia calliptera (eastern happy), 556 nucleotides long. NCBI's taxonomy places the organism in Eukaryota, Metazoa, Chordata, Actinopteri, Cichliformes, Cichlidae. The record is from Ensembl.